Molecule: long non-coding RNA, 455 nt
Filed under: Mus pahari (shrew mouse)
Lineage: Eukaryota; Metazoa; Chordata; Mammalia; Rodentia; Muridae
Description: lncRNA (MGP_PahariEiJ_G0002477.1)
Source: RNAcentral
AGGAGACCGCUCGAAGACGAUGAAGUUCUUCCAUGCUUUGGACGCAAUCCUGCAGUCCGAACCGACCGCACAGUUAACAGAGGAGAAGGACGGUAACAGCAAGUGCCUGGCAACCCUGAGCCCAGUUACCGCUCCAGAGAUCGCCGAAGAAACAAUGUCUACACCUGUCAAGAAAACAUCUCCCAAGACCAUUGCAAACCGGUUUCCUCAAAGCUUAACCGACCUGGAAGGUUCUACAGGAUGUUUCUUCCAUCUGGACCCUCACCUCCACCAGGUAAGUUUCACACAUGUUGAGACGUAUAAACACAUGUGGUAUUAGCCAUUGGUUUUAAUUUCUGUUCUGGAACUCGACCACUCGCAGAGGACGUGGUCAUUUCCUAAUUAACAAAACUCAAUCAUAUACUUUCCUUCACUAAACAAAACACAGGAGAAGCUAGGCACUUUGUACUUUUUUG